AGCUUUGUGCAGUGGCAAUAUCGUAGCCAGUGAGGUUUACCCGAGGCGCGAUUAUUGCUAAUUGAAAAAAAGAAAAAGAAAUGCAUACACUGCACACCCAGUUUGCAUGAGUCUGUGGGUGACAGUGGAAACCCAAAAUCCAUUUGCAGGG
Molecule: small nuclear RNA, 151 nt
Filed under: Echinops telfairi (small Madagascar hedgehog)
Lineage: Eukaryota; Metazoa; Chordata; Mammalia; Afrosoricida; Tenrecidae
Description: U4 spliceosomal RNA (ENSETEG00000024732.1)
Rfam family: U4 spliceosomal RNA (bases 1-77)
About the family: U4 small nuclear RNA (U4 snRNA) is a component of the major U2-dependent spliceosome.
Source: RNAcentral